AUACGUAGGGGGCGAGCGUUGUCCGGAAUGAUUGGGCGUAAAGGGCGCGUAGGCGGCCCGGUAAGUCUGGAGUGAAAGUCCUGCUUUCAAGGUGGGAAUUGCUUUGGAUACUGCCGCGCUUGAGUGCAGGAGAGGUUAUCGGAAUUCCCGGUGUAGCGGUGAAAUGCGUAGAGAUCGGGAGGAACACCAGUGGCGAAGGCGGGUAACUGGACUGCAACUGACGCUGAGGCGCGAAAGUGUGGGGAGCAAACAGGAUUAGAUACCCUGGUAGUCCACACUGUAAACGAUGAAUGCUAGGUGUAAGAGGUAUCGACCCCUUUUGUGCCGGAGUUAACACAAUAAGCAUUCCGCCUGGGGAGUACGGCCGCAAGGUUGAAACUCAAAUGAAUUGACGGGG
Molecule: ribosomal RNA, 397 nt
Filed under: uncultured bacterium
Lineage: Bacteria
Description: partial 16S ribosomal RNA
Rfam family: Bacterial small subunit ribosomal RNA
Source: RNAcentral